AUAUGCUGUUUGUAUAAUAACAACAUACUGCAGGAGGGAGAGAGAGGCAGUGUGUUGAUAUGCUGUUUGUAUAAUAACAAUAUACUGCAGGAGGAGAGAGAGAGGCAGUGUGUUGAUAUGCUGUUUGUAUAAUAACAACAUACUGCAGGAGGAGAGAGAGGCAGUGUGUUGAUAUGCUGUUUGUAUAAUAACAACAUACUGCAGGAGGGAGGCAGUGUGUUGAUAUGCUGUUUGUAUAAUAACAACAUACUGCAGGAGGAGAGAGAGGCAGUGUGUUGAUAUGCUGUUUGUAUAAUAAUAACAUACUGCAGGAGGAGAGAGAGGCAGUGUGUUGAUAUGCUGUUUGUAUAAUAACAACAUACUGCAGGAGGAGAGAGAGGCAGUGUGUUGAUAUGCUGUUUGUAUAAUAACAACAUACUGCAGGAGGAGAGAGAGGCAGUGUGUUGAUAUGCUGUUUGUAUAAUAACAACAUACUGCAGGAGGAGAGAGAGAGGCAGUGUGUUGAUAUGCUGUUUGUAUAAUAACAACAUACUGCAGGAGGAGAGAGAGGCAGUGUGUUGAUAUGCUGUUUGUAUAAUAACAACAUACUGCAGGAGGAGAGA
RNAcentral lists this long non-coding RNA (602 nucleotides) under Salmo salar (Atlantic salmon). Its description in RNAcentral is "lncRNA (ENSSSAG00000109502.1)". Lineage: Eukaryota; Metazoa; Chordata; Actinopteri; Salmoniformes; Salmonidae. The record is from RNAcentral.